UUAGUAUGAUCCUGGGUACAUUAUGUCUCUGCAGCACUAUUUCUGCUCUUACUAAGAGGCAGAUGAACUUGGAUAAUAACUACAGGGGCCAAAUUCUGCUCUUUGUUGUACCAGUGUAAAUAGGGAGUAACUCCAUUGACUUCCACCAGUUUGAAAAUAUUCUAUCAUUUGAUUGCUGCUACUUCUGACUUGUGUACAAAGACAGGGGGAGUAGAUGCAUCUCUGGUGUGAUGCCACUGAUGUCAAUGGACCUAGGGGCACAAGAGAAAACCCAACAUGAAGAUGAACUUGGCUCCUGCUCUCCACAGUUUUGCAAAAGCACUUUCUUCAACAAAUAGACAAAUGGACUCAAAUUACUUCAGUGUUCAAGAGGCCGUUAGAAUCUUUUCCAGGACUUGGAACACUAAUGGCAUUUGAAAAUUGAAAGAUGCAUAUGGUAGCCAGAAUGAUCUGAUUUAUCAAGAGGGCCCAGUGCUUGGACAAGGUGAACUCCUGGACAAAGAACAGCUGGCUGAAGCUGAACCUGACACUGAAGCACACUGCAGUGGUGCUGUGGUCCAUGGAUGGGCAGUGGCACUUGUGACAGUUGCAGCCCAUGGAGCUAACUUAGCUUUUUAUUUUAUUUGCUAUCAAUUGGCAAUCAAUACAAUUAUUAAUCAUUAAAGAAUCAGACUACACAGUUCUGUCCAUGGCAUUGUCAUAUGGAUAAUGUGACCACUCACCAACAAAGUGCACAGGUUCUGUACAUGCAUUGUACGCUCCUCCUGUAUCUGGCAUACUGUUCACAUUCACUGCUUUUCCUCAGCUGUAAUUAUUAAGUGUCCAACUCCCCUUCACCCAUCACUGUGAUGACAGAGAGGCUGGCACCCUCAAGUGUUCCAGGAGCUGCUCUGUUCCCUUCCUGAGCAGAGCAGCUGUGUUGGCCAGGAGACGAUAUAGGCCCAGGGGUCAUGGGCUGCCAUCAGAUACAGGGCAUUCCUGAUUUCUUCAGGCAUUUGGUUUAGGGUAACUUCUGGGAGGCUGUCCAGAGGCUGUGGUCUGGCACCACAUUGAGCCUGCAGAAGAAGGUUAUGGCAUUG
This is a long non-coding RNA of Mauremys mutica (yellowpond turtle), 1079 nucleotides long. RefSeq lists it as uncharacterized. The record is from RefSeq and is a predicted model, not a curated record. The transcript is spliced from 4 exons. NCBI's taxonomy places the organism in Eukaryota, Metazoa, Chordata, Testudines, Geoemydidae.